AAAAACCAAACAAAAACAAACAAACAAACAAAAAACCAAAGGAGCAAAAUAGGAAACAAAUCCAGAAGAUGGACAAAUUCUACAUCCAAUUGCUGGUCCGUUGAGUCAAUUGGAUUUAUAUAUCAGAUUUUGACCUGAAAUGUGGUGGCUCAAGUGGUUAAGAUGCUGACUCCAUUGAUUGCAAGAUCGGCUGACUACGUAUUCCUUUAAAACUUUGGAUAAUUCAUCUGUGCCCCAGAGAAACCAAAAUGCUCAAAGUGUAUAUGUAUAUUUUAAAGUCAAGUUCUGGUUUUGCUUUUAAAGCAUUUGAAAUAUACAAGGAAGCUUUCAUACUAUUCAGAAAUGCUAUUUGGAAAGGGAAGAGGAAUAGCAAUAGCCAGAGAAAGAUGUUCUUCUAGAAAUCUUUCAGAUGCAGGUUUCUCAGGUGAGUAUUCAAGCCCCAGAUGUGUCAGUUUUCAUUCUGCCAAAAAGCUGCCAAAAAGCUUUAGUGCAUGACUGGAAGAAAAUAUGCAAUUAGGU
Molecule: long non-coding RNA, 519 nt
Organism: Sceloporus undulatus (fence lizard)
Lineage: Eukaryota; Metazoa; Chordata; Lepidosauria; Squamata; Phrynosomatidae
Exons: 3
Source: RefSeq, a predicted model, not a curated record